Molecule: ribosomal RNA, 727 nt
Filed under: Ficus carica (common fig)
Lineage: Eukaryota; Viridiplantae; Streptophyta; Magnoliopsida; Rosales; Moraceae
Description: eukaryotic LSU rRNA
Rfam family: 5.8S ribosomal RNA (bases 288-443)
Source: RNAcentral
UAAGGUUUUCCCGUAGGUGAACCUUGCGGAACUAUGGGGAAAUAAAAAUGCCCGGCAAAGAGACCGCGAACACGUUACGACACUCGAGGGGGGCGAGGGGCGCGAACACGCCCCGGACAAGUCCUCGCCGGGUGCUUGUGGCCCCGCCCCUCUUCCCCCGGCACCAAACGAACCCCGGCGCGGAAUGCGUCAAGGAAAGACAACGAGACGAUCCCCGCCAUCGAGGCCCCGGGAACGGUGACUCUGCCUCGGUGGUCGCUUCGGGAUCGGUUUUUAGUAUGAAGAACGACUCUCGGCAACGGAUAUCUCGGCUCUCGCAUCGAUGAAGAACGUAGCGAAAUGCGAUACUUGGUGUGAAUUGCAGAAUCCCGUGAACCAUCGAGUCUUUGAACGCAAGUUGCGCCCGAAGCCAUCAGGUCGAGGGCACGUCUGCCUGGGCGUCACACGUCGUUGCCCCCCCGAACCCCCGUCCCGCUCCUAGCCGGGCGAGUGGGGACUGUGUGGGGGGGGCGGAUGAUGACCUCCCGUGCGUGCUUUGACCCGCGGUUGGUCCAAAAACCGAGUCCCCUGUCACGUCGUCUUGGCAACAGGUAGUCGAUCAUUCGGUGCCGCCGCCUCGUGCGUCGGACACGCAUCUGGACUCCGACAGACCCCAAAUGCGCCCUCACGGUGCUCUCAGCUCAGCUGCCCACGUUGGGCGGGGCUACCCGCUGAGUUUAAAGCAUAA